AACCUAGCACACCUGCGGUGUGUACCUGCGGAAGGAUCAUUACCGAGUUUACAAACUCCCAAACCCUUUGUGAACCUUACCUAUCGUUGCUUCGGCGGGAUCGCCCCGGGCCGGCCCUUCACGGGGCCUCCGGAACCAGGCGCCCGCCGGAGAACCCAAACUCUUUGUUUUUAUGGUUUUCUCCUCUGAGUGGAUUAUAAACAAAUAAAUCAAAACUUUUAGCAAUGGAUCUCAGAUCGG
Molecule: unclassified non-coding RNA, 240 nt
Filed under: soil metagenome
Description: partial contains 5.8S ribosomal RNA, internal transcribed spacer 2, and large subunit ribosomal RNA
Source: RNAcentral